Long non-coding RNA from Panicum virgatum (switchgrass), 972 nucleotides. RefSeq lists it as uncharacterized. Lineage: Eukaryota; Viridiplantae; Streptophyta; Magnoliopsida; Poales; Poaceae. The record is from RefSeq and is a predicted model, not a curated record. The transcript has 2 exons.
GGACACUUGAAAGAAAGCCUACUAGCUCCCUCCCGCUGGGGGGAGAAGAGAGAGAGGGUGGGUGGGUGGGUGGAAGAAGAGAACAAAAACUCGAGGAGGGCAUAGAGAGAGAAAGCUGCGGCCGGCCUUUGCGUGGGGAAGCCAUCGCGGUUGCAGAGGAGGAGCACAAGUGCGAGAGGAAAAUGUUGCAGGAGGGAGGAGCAUGGAGGAGAGAGUGAAGGGUGGAGGCGAGCCACUGGAGGUGGAGCAGCAGGAGCGGGCAGCGAGGCUGGCCAAAAGGAGAUUUGGCGCCGUGGGCCCGCCGCCCUCCAGCUGAAGAGGAAGCGGCGAGGGAGGAGGUGGUGGUGGAGGAGGAUCUCCUCUCACGUCAAAGAGCAUAAAGGGAGGAGGAGAGGGGGAAGGGGGAGAGCUUCCAGGCCGCACAAAGCGAGGAAAAAAGCUUCAGAAAGAAAGAAAGCUUCAGAGGAAGAGCAAGGCAUCCAUCCAGUGAGUGGUGUCGUGAUAAAUAGCGGCUCCGAGCCGAGGGCAUCCGGUGCUCUCGCCACUACCACCGUGCAUUGCCUUAGCUUGUUUCGCUCUCCUCCACUAUUCUUGAAGUAGCUAGGUGUGUAGCAGCAGCUGGCCCGGUGUUGUGUUCGAGCUUGGAGGUGAUGGCAGUGCAAGAGCAGGAAGAGGAGGGCGGCGAUCAUGGCGCCACGGAGGAAGAAGAAGAAGAUGAGGGGAUGAUGAGGGUGUGGGGGAGCUGAUCUCUCCUUGUCCCGAGGUGUGCUGUCCACUUGUGGAGUAGUAAGAUAUUGGCACAAUAGGCUCAAUCACUUUCUCUUUUUUUUUGCCCUUCCUUCUUGGUUUGCUGUUCUUCCUCUAAUUCAUCAUUACAUACUCUUCCUCGUGUAAUCUUGUUCCCGUUUGCUGUUUGUUUCUCGGUGCCUUGCUUGCCCGGUUUAGAAUGGAAGGCGACGGUUGGCAAAAAAA